UUAAGUUAGAAAGGGCGCACGGUGGAUGCCUUGACACUAGGAGUCGAUGAAGGACGGGACUAACGCCGAUAUGCUUCGGGGAGCUGUAAGUAAGCUUUGAUCCGAAGAUUUCCGAAUGGGGAAACCCACCAUACGUAAUGGUAUGGUAUCCUUACCUGAAUACAUAGGGUAUGGAAGACAGACCCAGGGAACUGAAACAUCUAAGUACCUGGAGGAAGAGAAAGCAAAUGCGAUUUCCUGAGUAGCGGCGAGCGAAACGGAAUCUAGCCCAAACCAAGAGGCUUGCCUCUUGGGGUUGUAGGACAUUCUAUACGGAGUUACAAAGGAACGAGGUAGACGAAGCAGCCUGGAAAGGCUCGUCACAGAGGGUAACAACCCCGUAGUCGAAACUUCGUUCUCUCUUGAAUGUAUCCUGAGUACGGCGGAACACGUGAAAUUCCGUCGGAAUCUGGGAGGACCAUCUCCCAAGGCUAAAUACUACCUAGUGAUCGAUAGUGAACCAGUACCGUGAGGGAAAGGUGAAAAGCACCCCGGAAGGGGAGUGAAAGAGAUCCUGAAACCGUGUGCCUACAAAUAGUCAGAGCCCGUUAAUGGGUGAUGGCGUGCCUUUUGUAGAAUGAACCGGCGAGUUACGAUCCCGUGCGAGGUUAAGCUGAAGAGGCGGAGCCGUAGCGAAAGCGAGUCUGAAUAGGGCGUUUAGUACGUGGUCGUAGACCCGAAACCAGGUGAUCUACCCAUGUCCAGGGUGAAGUUCAGGUAACACUGAAUGGAGGCCCGAACCCACGCACGUUGAAAAGUGCGGGGAUGAGGUGUGGGUAGCGGAGAAAUUCCAAUCGAACCUGGAGAUAGCUGGUUCUCCCCGAAAUAGCUUUAGGGCUAGCCUUAAGUGUAAGAGUCUUGGAGGUAGAGCACUGAUUGAACUAGGGGUCCUCAUCGGAUUACCGAAUUCAGUCAAACUCCGAAUGCCAAUGACUUAUCCUUAGGAGUCAGACUGCGAGUGAUAAGAUCCGUAGUCAAGAGGGAAACAGCCCAGAUCGCCAGCUAAGGUCCCAAAGUGUGUAUUAAGUGGAAAAGGAUGUGGAGUUGCUUAGACAACUAGGAUGUUGGCUUAGAAGCAGCCACCAUUUAAAGAGUGCGUAAUAGCUCACUAGUCGAGUGACUCUGCGCCGAAAAUGUACCGGGGCUAAAUACACCACCGAAGCUGCGAAUUGAUACCUAUGGUAUCAGUGGUAGGGGAGCGUUCUAAGGGCAGUGAAGUCAGACCGUAAGGACUGGUGGAGCGCUUAGAAGUGAGAAUGCCGGUAUGAGUAGCGAAAGACGGGUGAGAAUCCCGUCCACCGAAUGCCUAAGGUUUCCUGAGGAAGGCUCGUCCGCUCAGGGUUAGUCAGGACCUAAGCCGAGGCCGACAGGCGUAGGCGAUGGACAACAGGUUGAUAUUCCUGUACCACCUCUUUAUCGUUUGAGCAAUGGAGGGACGCAGAAGGAUAGAAGAAGCGUGCGAUUGGUUGUGCACGUCCAAGCAGUUAGGCUGAUAAGUAGGCAAAUCCGCUUAUCGUGAAGGCUGAGCUGUGAUGGGGAAGCUCCUUAUGGAGCGAAGUCUUUGAUUCCCCGCUGCCAAGAAAAGCUUCUAGCGAGAUAAAAGGUGCCUGUACCGCAAACCGACACAGGUAGGCGAGGAGAGAAUCCUAAGGUGUGCGAGAGAACUCUGGUUAAGGAACUCGGCAAAAUGACCCCGUAACUUCGGGAGAAGGGGUGCUUUCUUAACGGAAAGCCGCAGUGAAUAGGCCCAAGCGACUGUUUAGCAAAAACACAGGUCUCUGCGAAGCCGUAAGGCGAAGUAUAGGGGCUGACACCUGCCCGGUGCUGGAAGGUUAAGGAGAGGGGUUAGCGUAAGCGAAGCUCUGAACUGAAGCCCCAGUAAACGGCGGCCGUAACUAUAACGGUCCUAAGGUAGCGAAAUUCCUUGUCGGGUAAGUUCCGACCCGCACGAAAGGUGUAACGAUUUGGGCACUGUCUCAACCAGAGACUCGGUGAAAUUAUAGUACCUGUGAAGAUGCAGGUUACCCGCGACAGGACGGAAAGACCCCGUGGAGCUUUACUGUAGCCUGAUAUUGAAUUUUGGUACAGUUUGUACAGGAUAGGCGGGAGCCUUUGAA
Molecule: ribosomal RNA, 2156 nt
Filed under: Bacillus cereus VDM006
Lineage: Bacteria; Bacillati; Bacillota; Bacilli; Caryophanales; Bacillaceae
Description: bacterial LSU rRNA
Rfam family: Bacterial large subunit ribosomal RNA
Source: RNAcentral